Molecule: ribosomal RNA, 416 nt
Filed under: Leptotrichia sp. oral taxon 213
Lineage: Bacteria; Fusobacteriati; Fusobacteriota; Fusobacteriia; Fusobacteriales; Leptotrichiaceae
Description: bacterial SSU rRNA
Rfam family: Bacterial small subunit ribosomal RNA
Source: RNAcentral
GAUGAACGCUGACAGAAUGCUUAACACAUGCAAGUCAUUGGCGAAGCUGCGCUUGCGCAGCCUAGCCAAGGCGGACGGGUGAGUAACGCGUAAGGAACUUGCCCUGCAGACAGGGAUAACAGACGGAAACGACUGAUAACACCUGGUGUUGUCAGGCUGGCGCAUGCCGGACUGAUGAAAGGAGACGCUGCAGGAGAGCCUUGCGUCCUAUUAGCUAGUUGGUGGGGUAACGGCCCACCAAGGCGAUGAUAGGUAGCCGGCCUGAGAGGGUGAACGGCCACAAGGGGACUGAGAUACGGCCCUUACUCCUACGGGAGGCAGCAGUGGGGAAUAUUGGACAAUGGGGGCAACCCUGAUCCAGCAAUUCUGUGUGCACGAAGAAGGUUUUCGGAUUGUAAAGUGCUUUCAGCGGGGAA